UACGAAGGAUUCGAGCGUUAUCCGGAUUUAUUGGGUUUAAAGGGUGCGUAGGUGGACUAAUAAGUCAGUGGUGAAAGCCCGCAGCUUAACUGCGGAACUGCCAUUGAUACUGUUAGUCUUGAGUACAGUUGAGGUGGGCGGAAUGUGUCAUGUAGCGGUGAAAUGUUUAGAUAUGACACAGAACACCGAUUGCGAAGGCAGCUCACUAAGCUGUAACUGACACUGAGGCACGAAAGUGUGGGUAGCAAACAGG
This 253-nucleotide ribosomal RNA is filed under the name uncultured bacterium. Its description in RNAcentral is "partial 16S ribosomal RNA". It matches the Rfam family "Bacterial small subunit ribosomal RNA", at positions 524 to 776 of the family's 1533-position model. The record is from RNAcentral.